UCAGAUGGCUUUAUUAUAUUAUCUUACCGACAGUCAAUUUAGUAUUACUAAGAGCGUUAUAAUGUACCUAUAUAAUAUAGAAAAUAAUGACGCGUUAUGUGGCAUUAAGGUUCACAGCACAAAAAAGGUGUAAAACUUAAAAAUACUCCGAUGUGCAUAGUCGACUCCCUCUUAAUGAUCUAUGAGAAAGAUAAGAAAGGCAUCACAUUUUCAGACACGUUCAGCUGUGGGAAUUUGUUUGACUAAUUCUAAAGAUUGGGAUGAGUUUAGAGAUCAUUGAUCAAAUAAAACAA
Long non-coding RNA from Acromyrmex echinatior (Panamanian leafcutter ant), 293 nucleotides. The record is from RefSeq and is a predicted model, not a curated record. NCBI's taxonomy places the organism in Eukaryota, Metazoa, Arthropoda, Insecta, Hymenoptera, Formicidae.